This 733-nucleotide ribosomal RNA is filed under the name uncultured bacterium. Its description in RNAcentral is "bacterial SSU rRNA". It matches the Rfam family "Bacterial small subunit ribosomal RNA", at positions 30 to 807 of the family's 1533-position model. The record is from RNAcentral.
UGAACGCUGGCGGUAUGCUUAACACAUGCAAGUCGAACGGUGUCUUCGGACAUAGUGGCGGACGGGUGAGUAACGCGUGAGAAUCUAGCUUCAGGUCUGGGACAACCACUGGAAACGGUGGCUAAUACCGGAUGUGCCGGAAGGUGAAAGGCUUGCUGCCUGAAGAUGAGCUCGCGUCCGAUUAGCUAGUAGGUGGGGUAAGAGCCUACCUAGGCGACGAUCGGUAGCUGGUCUGAGAGGAUGACCAGCCACACUGGGACUGAGACACGGCCCAGACUCCUACGGGAGGCAGCAGUGGGGAAUUUUCCGCAAUGGGCGAAAGCCUGACGGAGCAAUACCGCGUGAGGGAGGAAGGCUCUUGGGUUGUAAACCUCUUUUCUCAGGGAAGAACACAAUGACGGUACCUGAGGAAUCAGCAUCGGCUAACUCCGUGCCAGCAGCCGCGGUAAUACGGAGGAUGCAAGCGUUAUCCGGAAUGAUUGGGCGUAAAGCGUCCGCAGGUGGCUGUGUAAGUCUGCUGUCAAAGAGCAAAGCUCAACUUUGUAAAGGCAGUGGAAACUACACGGCUAGAGUGCGUUCGGGGCGGAGGGAAUUCCUGGUGUAGCGGUGAAAUGCGUAGAGAUCAGGAAGAACACCGGUGGCGAAGGCGCUCUGCUAGGCCGCAACUGACACUGAGGGACGAAAGCUAGGGGAGCGAAUGGGAUUAGAUACCCCAGUAGUCCUAGCUGUAAAC